CAACCUGCCGCUUACUCGGGGAUAGCCUUUCGAAAGAAAGAUUAAUACCCGAUGGUAUAAAGAGUUCGCAUGUUCUCUUUAUUAAAGAAUUUCGGUAAGCGAUGGGGAUGCGUUCCAUUAGAUUGUUGGCGGGGUAACGGCCCACCAAGUCUACGAUGGAUAGGGGUUCUGAGAGGAAGGUCCCCCACAUUGGAACUGAGACACGGUCCAAACUCCUACGGGAGGCAGCAGUGAGGAAUAUUGGUCAAUGGACGAGAGUCUGAACCAGCCAAGUAGCGUGAAGGAUGACUGCCCUAUGGGUUGUAAACUUCUUUUAUAAGGGAAUAAAGUGAGGGACGUGUCCCUUUUUGUAUGUACCUUAUGAAUAAGGAUCGGCUAACUCCGUGCCAGCAGCCGCGGUAAUAUGGAGGAUCCAAGCGUUAUCCGGAUUUAUUGGGUUUAAAGGGAGCGUAGGUUGACAUAUAAGUCAGCUGUGAAAGUUUACGGCUCAACCGUGAAAUUGCAGUUGAUACUGUAUGUCUUGAGUGUACAAGAGGUGGGCGGAAUUCGUGGUGUAGCGGUGAAAUGCUUAGAUAUCACGAAGAACUCCGAUUG
RNAcentral lists this ribosomal RNA (594 nucleotides) under uncultured Bacteroidota bacterium. RNAcentral's name for it is "bacterial SSU rRNA". It matches the Rfam family "Bacterial small subunit ribosomal RNA", at positions 122 to 715 of the family's 1533-position model. The record is from RNAcentral. Lineage: Bacteria; Pseudomonadati; Bacteroidota.